Molecule: small nucleolar RNA, 104 nt
Organism: Lathyrus oleraceus (garden pea)
Lineage: Eukaryota; Viridiplantae; Streptophyta; Magnoliopsida; Fabales; Fabaceae
Product: small nucleolar RNA Z279/snoR105/snoR108
Exons: 1
Source: RefSeq, a predicted model, not a curated record
GAGAUAUGAUUAGUGGUCUAGUCUCACAUUAAAUAUGCGAGUUGGGUGUCUGCCCCAGACUUGGUAACGACAAUUCAGCACUCUCCUUUGACCAAUCAGAUCUC